Molecule: ribosomal RNA, 487 nt
Filed under: uncultured bacterium
Lineage: Bacteria
Description: bacterial SSU rRNA
Rfam family: Bacterial small subunit ribosomal RNA
Source: RNAcentral
GCAAGUCGAACGCACUCUCGUUUGGAUUGAAGGAGCUUGCUCCUGAUGAUAACAUUGAGUGAGUGGCGGACGGGUGAGUAACACGUGGUAACCUGCCCUAAAGUGGGGGAUAACAUUUGGAAACAGAUGCUAAUACCGCAUAAAACCUAACACCGCAUGGUGUAGGGUUGAAAGAUGGUUUCGGCUAUCACUUUAGGAUGGACCCGCGGUGCAUUAGUUAGUUGGUGAGGUAAAGGCUCACCAAGACCGUGAUGCAUAGCCGACCUGAGAGGGUAAUCGGCCACACUGGGACUGAGACACGGCCCAGACUCCUACGGGAGGCAGCAGUAGGGAAUCUUCCACAAUGGACGAAAGUCUGAUGGAGCAACGCCGCGUGAGUGAAGAAGGUUUUCGGAUCGUAAAACUCUGUUGUUGGAGAAGAAUGUAUCUGAUAGUAACUGAUCAGGUAGUGACGGUAUCCAACCAGAAAGCCACGGCUAACUACGUG